GGAGCGUGGCGCAGCCUGGUAGCGCACUUGACUGGGGGUCAAGGGGUCGCAGGUUCGAAU
RNAcentral lists this transfer RNA (60 nucleotides) under Brevundimonas sp. RNAcentral's name for it is "tRNA-Pro". It matches the Rfam family "tRNA", at positions 2 to 58 of the family's 71-position model. Rfam says of the family: Transfer RNA (tRNA) molecules are approximately 80 nucleotides in length. Their secondary structure includes four short double-helical elements and three loops (D, anti-codon, and T loops). Lineage: Bacteria; Pseudomonadati; Pseudomonadota; Alphaproteobacteria; Caulobacterales; Caulobacteraceae. The record is from RNAcentral.